CAGCUAGGGGAGCGAACAGGAUUAGAGACCCUGGUAGUCCUAGCCGUUUACGAUGGAUGCUAGGUGUGGGAGUGAAGAACUUCUGUGCCGCAGCGAACGCGAUAAGCAUCCCGCCUGGGGAGUACGGCCGCAAGGUUAAAACUCAAGCGAAUUGACGGGGACCCGCACAAGCAGCGGAGCGUGUGGUUUAAUUCGAUGCUACACGAAGAACCUUACCUGGGAUUGACAUAUGGGUGGUAGUGAGCCGAAAGGCAAGCGACCCUUCGGGGAGCCUAUACAGGUGCUGCAUGGCUGUCGUCAGCUCGUGCCGUGAGGUGUCGGGUUAAGUCCCGUAACGAGCGCAACCCCUGUCCUUAGUUACAAGUGUCUAAGGGGACUGCCGGCGGGAAGCCGGAGGAAGGUGGGGAUGACGUCAAGUCAGCAUGGCCCUUAUAUCCAGGGCGACACACACGCUACAAUGGUCGGUACAGAGGGCAGCGAAGCCGCGAGGUGGAGCGAAACCCAGAAAGCCGGUCGUAGUUCGGAUUGCAGGCUGCAACUCGCCUGCAUGAAGUUGGAGUUGCUAGUAACCGCAGGUCAGCCAUACUGCGGUGAUACGUUCCCGGGUCUUGUACACACCGCCCGUCACGUCAUGGGAGUCGGUAACGCCUGAAGACGGUAGUCUGACCGGAAGGAAACGCUGUCGAGGGUGG
This 692-nucleotide ribosomal RNA is filed under the name uncultured organism. Its description in RNAcentral is "bacterial SSU rRNA". It matches the Rfam family "Bacterial small subunit ribosomal RNA", at positions 755 to 1465 of the family's 1533-position model. The record is from RNAcentral.